Molecule: long non-coding RNA, 586 nt
Organism: Artibeus jamaicensis (Jamaican fruit-eating bat)
Lineage: Eukaryota; Metazoa; Chordata; Mammalia; Chiroptera; Phyllostomidae
Exons: 5
Source: RefSeq, a predicted model, not a curated record
GCCAGGUUUCCACUAACCUCACUCACUCCUGGGGAGAGAAGCUGCAAGGAAAUCUCGCCCGCAGCGGGUCCUGAACUCGGUUCGCUCCGCCACCCUCACUCCGACCCCAGGUGGCUGGGCACCGGCUCCUCCAGGACCUCAGCUACUUCGGCCGGGCCCCAGGCAGGCCUCGGGGGUCCCCAAGCUCCAAGGCCCCCGUCCCGCCCCUCGCCUCAGCUAGAGAAAGCAGAAGCACCCACCUCAAAAAAGAGAGGGAGAGAGAAAGAGAAGAUUGUUGACCUUUAAAAUACAGCUUUACAACAACUUUCUUGAAAAGCCCAGAAGAUGGACAUUUGGCAAGCCAUAAUAGACUGCUCCUUUCCCAGUGUCUACUCCGGAGAUACAGGAGCUUGCUGGACCUAUCUUCAAAGGCAGCCCAGAAGCAGGUGGAGUUAAUGCCACCAGGAUGCGGUCAACCAGGGCUCUUGGAUCCAGCUCGGCAAACAAUACCUAUUCCAAGAAACACCAUUCUUCACCUCAGUCAUGUUAUUUCCUUCAUAUGGGCAGUGCUGUAUCCAGAGCUAAAGGACUUGUGUAUUAAAGUUAA